This 102-nucleotide small nucleolar RNA is filed under the name Ochotona princeps (American pika). RNAcentral's name for it is "Small nucleolar RNA SNORA74 (ENSOPRG00000022508.1)". The record is from RNAcentral. Lineage: Eukaryota; Metazoa; Chordata; Mammalia; Lagomorpha; Ochotonidae.
CCCAGCUGUAGAAAUGGCCUAGGUUGCCUUGUACCUAGGCAAGUGUUACAUAGCUGGGAGAAAAACAUCCAGUAGCUGGUGGGCAUCCUGGACCUGCAUAGU